RNAcentral lists this ribosomal RNA (468 nucleotides) under uncultured bacterium. RNAcentral's name for it is "partial 16S ribosomal RNA". It matches the Rfam family "Bacterial small subunit ribosomal RNA", at positions 28 to 507 of the family's 1533-position model. The record is from RNAcentral.
GACGAACGCUGGCGGCGUGCUUAACACAUGCAAGUCGAACGGAAAGGCCCUGCUUUUGUGGGGUGCUCGAGUGGCGAACGGGUGAGUAACACGUGAGUAACCUGCCCUUGACUUUGGGAUAACUUCAGGAAACUGGGGCUAAUACCGGAUAGGAGCUCCUGCUGCAUGGUGGGGGUUGGAAAGUUUCGGCGGUUGGGGAUGGACUCGCGGCUUAUCAGCUUGUUGGUGGGGUAGUGGCUUACCAAGGCUUUGACGGGUAGCCGGCCUGAGAGGGUGACCGGCCACAUUGGGACUGAGAUACGGCCCAGACUCCUACAGGAGGCAGCAGUGGAGAAUAUUACACAGUAGGCGGAAGCCUGAUGCAGCAGCGCCGCGUGCGGGAUGACGGCCUUCGGGUUGUAAACCGCUUUCGCCUGUGACGAAGCGUGAGUGACGGUAAUGAAUAAAGAAGCACCGGCUAACUACGUG